Mercenaria mercenaria is the source of this 1713-nucleotide long non-coding RNA. RefSeq lists it as uncharacterized. The record is from RefSeq and is a predicted model, not a curated record. NCBI's taxonomy places the organism in Eukaryota, Metazoa, Mollusca, Bivalvia, Venerida, Veneridae. The transcript is spliced from 3 exons.
UUUAACGUCAACCUUGCGACAUUUGACGGUGGUUGCGACAUUUAGCGGCGUUGCGACAUUUAACGUUGUCACAGACAGGAAUCACUAUUUUCAACAUGUUUUUAUCCGUGUUGUCUUAUAUUUUAUGUAUUGCCUAAUAUAUUGAUGGCAUUACAUCCCUUAAAAGUCGCCAUAUGACCUAUUAUGUGUCGGCGCGACGUUAAAUCCAACCAAAAAAAAAUUACAUCCCUUAAAGCGCCCCACGCUCAUUUUUACGUCCCCUCGCCUUUUUACUAUGAUUGAGGUUAGUGAUGCUUGCAGAAUUUCCUUUUUAUCCGCAUUCUUAGCAAUAUUUGUGCAUAGUGUGUGUUGUUUACAUUGAUUCUAUACAUGUUUGCGGUCAUUCUUUUUUAUGUUAUGAUCUGUUAUCAUUUCAUCAAGUGGGUGAUAGAAUGCCAACUAUGUAACUUAAACAUGCAACAAAUGUCCGUAAAUACUGUGAUCUUACCAUCAUUGUAAAGAUUAUCUUCUACUUUUAAUAUUAAGAUUAUAAUUUGCGGUUUUUAAUGACGGAUGUGGAUAAAUUCCGGCUCAGUAGUCCUGGUCGUGUAAUAAGAUUUAUUAGAAGAUCCUUUUAAAACACACUGUGCAAAUACACAAAUUGAUAUAAAAUGGAUAAGAUGAAUCUGUUUAUGGGAGGUAAUGAAAUGUGCAACGCUUCUCACAAACCUUAGCAUCGGAUUAAGCGGGACGCUAUUAUUUGUAAACAUUGGACUGCAUGGUUCCAAGCUAUAUAACUACACUGAGUAUAAUUAUACGGAUCGACACAAGGUAGUACUUGUCUACCCCAGAUAAAGCUGUAAGAGUAACUAAUUAUCUUUUGGGAUGAAGAGAGCCAGCAAGAAGAUUAUUUAGGUUUCUAGUAUAGCCUUUGAUUGAAUGACGACAGUAUUCAGUAACACCAGUAAAAUGUCGCAAUGUCUUAUUGGUUUGACCGGCGGUAGUAGUGACCUGACUGCAGAAAUUUGUACGGCCUUCAAAAAGUUGAAGAGAACAUGUCCUUUUUGCGUGGAUAGCAAUAGCAGCGUGCAUGUGUGUCACUUCAGGCCGCAAUGCCGCUAGGUCGCCAACUUCAGCAACAUGUUAGAGUAGAUGAGUGUAUGGAGGAUAUCUGCACUUGGCCCUAGAUGGUGAAAGCAUCCGUGAUGGGGUUACUCUAUUUAUUUUCUCCGUCAAAGGCAAAGAAAGGGUCGGAGGACAUCUCCUUUUGUCUUACAAAACCACAUGCAUGCGUAAUAUAAGAAUGAACAUAUUUAUAAAUAUAGAUGUUGUGCAGAGAUUACACUUUCUGAUUCGUCUAUCAUUUAAACAUUUAUACAUACAUUGCAUGUCUGUCAUACCUAUUUAUAUCUGGGGGUUUUAAAGUACAGUUUAUAGUGCAUUUGAAUGGGUGCAUUUCCUACUAUGCACAUUUCAAAUAUAAUAAAUAAUGUCUUAUCCGAACUCAUAUGUUCCGGUGCAGGCUACAAAUAACUGUCAGCGUUUAGAUAUAUUGUUCGAUACAUUUUUUUAUAAAAUCGCAUGUAUUAUUUAUUCUCGACACUAUGUUAACUUACACUUUUACACGUGAUAACAUGUUUAACUUAUAUUAUAUAUAUGUAUAUGAUGAUGUGCUAUGUAUAAGUCAAAAUAAAACGUAUGUUCUGUUUCUUUUUUUCUGUUCCGUAAUAUAUA